Molecule: non-coding RNA, 91 nt
Organism: Mycena albidolilacea
Lineage: Eukaryota; Fungi; Basidiomycota; Agaricomycetes; Agaricales; Mycenaceae
Source: the annotation of a GenBank genome assembly
GCCGGCUUAGCUCAGUGGUAGAGCGCUGCACUUGUAACUCAUCCCUGAGUUUGAAAUGCAGCGGUCAGUCGUUCAAUCCGGCUAGUCGGCA